RNAcentral lists this ribosomal RNA (728 nucleotides) under uncultured bacterium. RNAcentral describes it as "bacterial SSU rRNA". It matches the Rfam family "Bacterial small subunit ribosomal RNA", at positions 136 to 851 of the family's 1533-position model. The record is from RNAcentral.
GACUGGGAUAACACCUGGAAACAGAUGCUAAUACCGGAUAACAACACUAGACGCAUGUCUAGAGUUGAAAGAUGGUUCAGCUAUCACUCUUGGAUGGACCUGCGGUGCAUUAGCUAGUUGGUAAGGUAACGGCUUACCAAGGCAAUGAUGCAUAGCCGAGUUGAGAGACUGAUCGGCCACAUUGGGACUGAGACACGGCCCAAACUCCUACGGGAGGCAGCAGUAGGGAAUCUUCCACAAUGGACGAAAGUCUGAUGGAGCAACGCCGCGUGAGUGAAGAAGGGUUUCGGCUCGUAAAGCUCUGUUGGUAGUGAAGAAAGAUAGAGGUAGUAACUGGCCUUUAUUUGACGGUAAUUACUUAGAAAGUCACGGCUAACUACGUGCCAGCAGCCGCGGUAAUACGUAGGUGGCAAGCGUUGUCCGGAUUUAUUGGGCGUAAAGCGAGUGCAGGCGGUUCAAUAAGUCUGAUGUGAAAGCCUUCGGCUCAACCGGAGAAUUGCAUCAGAAACUGUUGAACUUGAGUGCAGAAGAGGAGAGUGGAACUCCAUGUGUAGCGGUGGAAUGCGUAGAUAUAUGGAAGAACACCAGUGGCGAAGGCGGCUCUCUGGUCUGCAACUGACGCUGAGGCUCGAAAGCAUGGGUAGCGAACAGGAUUAGAUACCCUGGUAGUCCAUGCCGUAAACGAUGAGUGCUAAGUGUUGGGAGGUUUCCGCCUCUCAGUGCUGCAG